RNAcentral lists this ribosomal RNA (119 nucleotides) under Pteropus alecto (black flying fox). Lineage: Eukaryota; Metazoa; Chordata; Mammalia; Chiroptera; Pteropodidae. The record is from RNAcentral.
GUCUACGGCCAUGCCACCCUGAACGAGCCUGAUCUCGUCUGAUCUGUGAAGCUAAGGAGAGUCAGGCCUGGUUAGUACUUGGAUGGGAGACUACCUAGGAAUACCAGGUGCUGUAAGUG